Molecule: ribosomal RNA, 253 nt
Filed under: uncultured bacterium
Lineage: Bacteria
Description: partial 16S ribosomal RNA
Rfam family: Bacterial small subunit ribosomal RNA
Source: RNAcentral
UACGGAGGGUGCGAGCGUUGUCCGGAAUCAUUGGGCGUAAAGGGCGCGUAGGUGGCCCGGUCAGUCAGUGGUGAAAGCGCGGGGCUCAACUCCGCGUCGGCCAUUGAUACUGCGGGGCUGGAGCACUGUAGAGGCAGGCGGAAUUCCGGGUGUAGCGGUGGAAUGCGUAGAGAUCCGGAAGAACACCGGUGGCGAAGGCGGCCUGCUGGGCAGUAGCUGACACUGAGGCGCGACAGCGUGGGGAGCAAACAGG